CAGCCACAACAGCCCGCUGGCUCGCACGGGGUGCUCUUCAUCGAGUGUCCCGCGUGGCCGGCAGAGUUUACUUUGAAAAAAUUAGAGUGCUCAAAGCAGGCUACACUGACGGCCUGAAUGCCUAUGCAUGGAAUAAUGGAAUAGGACCUCGGUUCUAUUUUGUCGGUUUUCUGAACCCGAGGUAAUGACUAAUAGGAACAGGCGGGGGCAUUCGUAUUGCGACGCUAGAGGUGAAAUUCUUGGACCGUCGCAAGACGAACUACUGCGAAAGCAUUUGCCAAGGAUGUUUUCAUUAAUCAAGAACGAAAGUUAGAGGUUCGAAGGCGAUCAGAUACCGCCCUAGUUCUAACCAUAAACGAUGCUGACCAGCGAUCCGCCGGCGUUAUUCCCAUGACCCGGCGGGCAGCUUCCGGGAAACCAAAGUCUUUGGGUUCCGGGGGAAGUAUGGUUGCAAAGCUGAAACUUAAAGGAAUUGACGGAAGGGCACCACCAGGAGUGGAGCCUGCGGCUUAAUUUGACUCAACACGGGGAACCUCACCAGGCCCAGACACCGGAAGGAUUGACAGAUUGAGAGCUCUUUCUCGAUUCGGUGGGUGGUGGUGCAUGGCCGUUCUUAGUUGGUGGAGCGAUUUGUCUGGUUAAUUCCG
Molecule: ribosomal RNA, 647 nt
Filed under: Sartoriana spinigera
Lineage: Eukaryota; Metazoa; Arthropoda; Malacostraca; Decapoda; Gecarcinucidae
Description: SSU rRNA
Rfam family: Eukaryotic small subunit ribosomal RNA
Source: RNAcentral